GUGCUCACUUCAGCAUCACACAUACUAAAAUUGGAACAAUACAGAGAAAAUUACCCUAACACCUGCUCAACAAUGACAUACAAAUUCAUGAAGCAUUUCAUAUCUUU
This is a small nuclear RNA of Equus caballus (horse), 107 nucleotides long. Lineage: Eukaryota; Metazoa; Chordata; Mammalia; Perissodactyla; Equidae. The record is from Ensembl.